GAAAAGAAAAUAAAAGAAAAGAAAAGAAAGAAAAAAUAUGAGAGACGAGAGGAAAGAAAAAAAGAGAUUGAGGAAGGGGAAAGGAUAUUAUCGUGGCCACUAGAAAGGACCCGUGCAUCUUUACUACCCUGUUGGUAAAACCUCAUCGGAGGAAGAGCUGUACGAGCGGAUAGUGUCCGGCGCUAAAGCGCGCGACGCUGCUGCUCUGCCGUUGGCGUCACGAAACUCCAUUACCGACGUUUUCUGUGAAUUCCGCGCUCGUCGGACGCGCGAGAGAGCCGAGCAAGAUAGAGAAGAGAGAGAGAGAGGGAGAGAGGAGAGAGAAUGAGAGGAGGAGAACGACGCAAUGAAAUUUGAACGCGUUGUGCGGCGUUCGUGUUCUAUCUUCCUCGACGAUAUCUCCCUCUUGGCGUCUUUGUCUCUCAUUUUCUCUCUCUCUCUCUCUCUCUCUCUCUCUCUCUCUCUCUCUGUAUCUUUCUCCCUGAGCAAUAUAACCACGUUCUCGUGUUUCUAUCUCUCUCGCUCAACCGCCAAUCUGCGCGCGUAGCACGCGAGAGAGCGCAGCUGCUGCAUCAACGACGAAAACGAAGACGAAGAUGAUGAUGACGACGACGACGAUGAAGACGAUGAUGACGAUGAUGAUGACGACUAAGACGACUAAGACGACUAAGACGACAAAGACGACAAUGGUGGAGUAUCGAAGGUGUGGGUGAAGGGUGCGGGAAGGAUGAGGAAUUGCGCGAGGCGAGACGAAAGGGACCGGCGCUAGGCUCAUCGCGCUGAGAACAGGAGGAAGGGGGAAGGGAACAGCGCAGGAAACUCGGCAACGCCACACGGACGCUGGCGGCAGCAACGGCGCGCGCGACCUAAAGGCAGCCGUGGUGUAUCGGCAACGCAGCGGUGACUCAGCAACGCCGGCCGACGGCGGCAACAACGACGACGAUGACGACGAUACCGGCAACGGAGGAGGCAACGACGACGGCAACGACGACGACGACGUCGGCUGCCAUUGCUGCCGUUGCCAUCGCCGUCGGCCACGACCGUUCGUUCAUUCUACAUAUCUCAGGGUACUUGGGCAACGGCGUUGCUGGUUACAAGGCUGCUUCUUCUACCUCAUCUCGUAAAGACCUUUUGCAACCCGGUUUUGUAACUCGAUUCUUUAUGGCGAAUGUCUCGCACACCCCGCACCCGCCCAACCCUUUACCAUCCGCCCUCUGCUCCCCUCCCCAAUCUUUUUCUCCUUCUCUUUCUUCCCCUACUUGUUUUUUCUCUUUUUUUUUCCUUUUUCUUCUUCUUCUUCUCCGUCCGUCUUCUUCUGUUGUUUCUUUUUUUAUCCACGCCAUGACGAUGACGUUGACGUUGACGUUGACGGUUGACGUUGACGGUUGACGUUGACAUUGACGACUACCACGAAGACGAAGAUGUUACAAUAUUUUUUCUCGAUAGACUAUAAUAUAUGACUUCCACGAAGAGAAUUAUCAUCGUAAUCGUAUGGAUGGAGACGUGUACAAUAAUAAUCACAUUGAUAUUUUCGAAUUAAUCUCGGGGAUGCUUUUGCACCCAUGAAAUAUAUCAUAAUCAAUUUAUUUGCGUCGAUAUUUUUCUUUGCUCUUAUUUUCUUUUUCUUUUUUUUCUUUCUUCUUUUUUUGAUCGUUCAUAGUAGAAAUGUCCCUCAAAAAAAGAAUUCGUAUGUAAGUACGAUGUAUGUAUCAAUUCAAAGGGGGUAGAGAAUCGUAUCCCGCGAUUACCGACGAGAUGAACGAAUGGCAAAUGUAAUCGUUAGUCGCCUCCCUCCCUUCUUCCCCUCCCUCUCUCCCACUCGUCCUUUUUUUUCCUCGAAGCGCGAUUGGUCGGUCCAUGCCGAAAUUCUAUUUGUCGUUUAAAAACAAGGACGAUGACGCGGAGGAGUAGUCGAUGCUUGCGCCAAUGCGCGCUGGCGCGCGCGCGCACGCGUUUCAUCCUAAAAAACGAAUGAGGACGAACGGACAAACGGACGGACAAAUGGACGAAGUGAGCGAUUAAAAUCGAAUAAAAUUAUUUUCUCGGCAUUGCUCUUGUAUUGUAACUUCGAAGAAUAUUGUAGUAGGAAGAAGAAGAAGAAGAAGGGAUUAAGUUGAUCGUAUCUUAAAAGAGUAAUAGUAGCAAUAGUAGAUAGUAAUAAUAAUAGUACAUAAUAGUUUAGAUUUUACGUGCGUAGUUUGCAGAUGACGAAUAACGAAAAUAUUUAAUAUGGGUUCCUUUUAAAAACUUGACCUUCUAUAUAUGACGAGCUCGCGGUUUACCUUAUAAGAACUAUUUCCACGAAUACCCGACGUAUUUCCAGUGGCGAGCGACGUGAUCGCGAUAGUCACCGCGACAGGAAUUCUCUUUCUCUCCUACAUGUACAUAUGUAUUAUAACCAACCGUCCUAUUCUUAGCGCUCAUCGCGCGCAUCGCGAGUAACGGGUUGGACGAUGACGACUAUGCGAACGAGAGAGAGAGAGAGAGAGAGAGAGAGAGAGAGAGAGAGAGAGAGAAGGAAAGAAAGAAAGAGCGAAGACAAACAGAAUGAUGAGAGAGACAGAUAGAGAAAGAGAGAGAGAAAGAAGGAAAGAAAGAAAGAGCGAAGACAAACAGAAUGAUGAAAGAGACAGAGAGAGAGAGAGAGAUAGGGUUGUGGGACAAUGGGUUAAAAGGGAGGUAAAAGAAGAAGAGCGUAUAGAGAGAAACACGAGGAUGGAAAUCCGACGACGUUGUAGUUAGUUUAUCGGCCGCCGAUAAAGCAGAGACUCCCGCCGAUCCUUUUGGUUUACAAGAAGAAGAGAGCGUGAAACUGGCAUUCUGGUUUCGUUGGAAAGGGGCAAGGGGGAGAGGGAGAGGCAGAGGCAGUAAGUUCGUCGUAUUGCCGCGGCGACGUUUAAAGUUUCGCGAGGCGCGCGGCAAGGCAACCUAUGGCUCGUUCGCGCGCUCCGAUGCGAAAGCGAAAUACAUAUAAUACCCGCAAUAACAACCACAAGAACUACAAAAACAGUCUCAGCAACAACCAUAACUUCCACAAUAUAACCACAACGACAACUACAAAAACAACGAAAACAACUACCCCAAUAACAAUUACAACAUCAACCAAAACCACAACGACUAUCACGGCAAUCACAACAACAACGUAAACAACAAUCACAAUAACAACUAGAACAACAGCCACAACAUCAACCACAACCACAACGAAAAUCACCAAAACUGCGACAACAACAACCACAAGAACCACAAAAACAACCACAACGACAACCGCAACCAUAACGACUACCACGACAAUCACAACAACAACGUAAACAACAACCACAAUAACAACUAGAACAACAGCCAGAACCACAAUCGCAACGAAAACAACAACGACAACUACAACGACAACGGCAACCACAACGAAAGCAACAAGAACAAUAACAACCACAAUUGCUACAACAACAACAACGACAACUAUAACGACAACCGCAAAUCUAACCACAACGACAACGACAACCACAACAAACACGAAAUCAACAACCAUACAAGCAGGACAACAACAACCAUGACAACUAUAACGACGACUACAACGACAACCAUAGCGGGAAUCACAACAGCAAUCAUUAAACAACCAUAAGUACAACUGCAACGACAACUACAAUAACAUCAACGAGAGUGAUAAUAAUAAUAAUAAGAAUAUUAAUGACAGGGAUAAUAAUGAGAAUAGGAAUAGCAACAACAACAACCACAACAACAACAAUAAAAAUAAUAAUAAUAAUUAUAAUAAUCGAAAUUUUUUUUACGAGCUUUUAGAACUUGCAGCUCGAUUCAACGCACAUAAUGACAUUUAAAAAUUCGCUCGAUAAAAUAAAUUUCUUUUCUUUCUUU
Molecule: RNA transcript, 3867 nt
Organism: Vespa crabro (European hornet)
Lineage: Eukaryota; Metazoa; Arthropoda; Insecta; Hymenoptera; Vespidae
Gene name: anaphase-promoting complex subunit cdh1-like
Exons: 2
Source: RefSeq, a predicted model, not a curated record